Molecule: unclassified non-coding RNA, 310 nt
Filed under: plant metagenome
Description: partial contains 5.8S ribosomal RNA, internal transcribed spacer 2, and large subunit ribosomal RNA
Rfam family: 5.8S ribosomal RNA (bases 1-105)
Source: RNAcentral
GAAAUGCGAUAAGUAGUGUGAAUUGCAGAAUUCAGUGAAUCAUCGAAUCUUUGAACGCACAUUGCGCCCCUUGGUAUUCCAUGGGGCAUGCCUGUUCGAGCGUCAUUUGUACCCUCAAGCUCUGCUUGGUGUUGGGUGGUUGUCCCCGUCUCCGCGCGUGGACUCGACCCAAAGUGAUUGGCAGCCGGCGUACUGGUCCCGGAGCGCAGCACAUGUCGCGCAAACGAGUGCCUUGGUACGGCGGCGUCCAUAAGCCCCUCUCUCACGCUCUUGACCUCGGAUCAGGUAGGGAUACCCGCUGAACUUAAGC